Lineus longissimus is the source of this 1374-nucleotide long non-coding RNA. RefSeq lists it as uncharacterized. The transcript has 3 exons. Lineage: Eukaryota; Metazoa; Nemertea; Pilidiophora; Heteronemertea; Lineidae. The record is from RefSeq and is a predicted model, not a curated record.
AACUUAGGCCUAUGGUUAGAAUCGAACACUUCGAUUCAGUAACCAAAAGUAGUCCGCUACUUUUGGUUACUAUAAUUUCUCCCUGCGUGUAAGGAUGUACUGUUCAUACUGAAACACACACAUAUAAUAAAUACACACAUACAAACAUACGCAUACACAAUUCUCUGCGUUUGAACUUUUUUUAUCGAUUUUCCGCGAAGAAAAUACUUACUUGCAUAGGUAGGUCCAGGAAUUAUAUUGAAGAAAAGAAGAAGAGGUACCCGGAUGAAGAUGGUCACAUGUUUGAUGACGUAGGCGGCAGAAGUCAAUUAUUGGUAGCCAUGUUGGGCGGACCAAAUCACGUGAGUAAACAUGAGUAAGUCCAGUCUUCAUUUAUUGACCAUCUCACGAAUCUAUUUUUAGCCAGCGGUAAGUAUAACUAACACUGAUUAGACUAACCCUAGUGACUCCUUUUUUUCUUUUUCAGAACUUUUCAAAACUUUGUUUGAUUUUUGUUCCGAUUAGAGGAAAAUGCCCCGGAUUGAGAAGAUCACGUGAUUUUAGGUGAAGCAGACGAAUUUGAAUGAUUGAUGCGAAGAAAUAGCCGUCGUGAAGACCGAAUUGUGAGUAUAGAAUUCUCAUUGCCUUCGACGAAUUAUUGGACAGGGCAAUCAAAAAUGUAUUCUAAUUAUCAGAACGAAAAAUCCAGGAACGAAACGAUUUGAAAGCAACGGGAACUGCGUACUCCAGAGGAUUAUUUCUCAAAUUAGUCAAAUCAUUUAUAUAUGUAUAAGCUUAUAUGUAUCCAGAAUACCAGUAUCACAUUGUCAUUGAGUUCCCAAUUUUUGUUUAUAUCAAAACAUCGAGUUGCGUGCUUAGUGUUAAUUACAUGAUUUCGUUCCGCUCAAUGAUCAGAAAGGUCUCGGUGUAUAGACAGACAGACUUGUUGAAAAGAACAUCGAUUAUUCCCAUCUAUGUAUAGUUUUAGAGGUGAAUCUGAAUAAUAUGCAGCCCGCAACUUAUACAUGACGGAGGUCAAAAGAUUAAGGAUACUAUAUGUAGAUAUAUGUUAUAUGUAGGAUUGCUAGUACCAGCAGAGGUUAAUCAGAUGCUGUAUUCAAUUUGCUAUAGCAGGACUACUGUCUAUCUGAUGAGACAUCACUGUAUAACAAUUCCGUAAACACUCCUCAUAUAACACUCAUCCUUUAUGGUCGACUGGUUAUCUUGCAGUAUUGCAACAUAGCUCGACUUUGUCCUAAUGUCAAUAUUCAUAAUUAACGGCAAAGUAUAGUAUUAUAAACUGAUCAACCAUCGUCAAGUCAUUUAAAGAACGUUAUUUGUAAUGCAAGUAAGUCUAAAUCAUUGUCGACAUUGUAUUGUAAUGCGAGUAAGCUC